Long non-coding RNA from Cygnus atratus (black swan), 3263 nucleotides. RefSeq lists it as uncharacterized. The transcript is spliced from 3 exons. NCBI's taxonomy places the organism in Eukaryota, Metazoa, Chordata, Aves, Anseriformes, Anatidae. The record is from RefSeq and is a predicted model, not a curated record.
AGCAUUACUGAAAUCCGGAAAUGUUCAGAUCAUUUUUCCUUUUCCUUUUCUCUGUUUCAAGGUUCCGUCUGGGAGCCGUGGUGCCAACCCAUUGUGAGAAAAAUGGCUGUUCCCAGUAUCUUCAGUUGGCACCGGAAGGACCAGUUCUAGGAAUUCUCCCAGGGAAGCUGCUUUUUAUACCUCUGCUCUAAUUUUAGAGACAAGAGGUUUGGAUAAUGUGAACAUGCAUCCACCUUACAAGAGGUUUCUAUAAACUGAACUUGAAUGGAGCCUUUCAAGGGUCAUGUUUGUCUCACUGAAGGUCUGGAUUUCAAAUGAAGGGCUUUAUAAACAUCAGUCAUUCCUGAUUUCUCCAUUUAAAGUGGCUGUGACAGAAUCAAGUUCCAAAUUGCCGGUUAUGGGAAAGAGUUUUUACAAAUUAGGAGAGCCUGUGAAUAUGAACAGAAAAGAAGGACAAGGAUAUCUCAGUUUCUCUUUCCACCAAAGCUAGGAGCUGAGUCCCACGUGAUUAAGUGACUUGAUUGCUCCAAACAGUGCUUAUUAACUACAACCAACAAAAAAUGGCUGCAUUUUGUGAAUCAGUCUCCACAUCUGUAAUUACUAAGGACUUUGUUAGCUGGGUCUCCCAGUGUAGCUCCCCUGUGACCAGAGAUCUUUGUCAUGAGCCUGGCUGGCCUCCCAGCACCACCUACUUCCAUCUGAGCUGGAUGCCACGAGAUCCCACCCAAAAGAGUCAAGCCUCCCUUGGAACAAUGAGCAAUUCUUGGGAGACGCCACUGGAACGCGACUGCCGUGGCACAGGAAGGCUGAUAACAUCUCCCGAGCCACAGCGGCCCUUUGUGUCGGCAGACACAAGUGGGAUGUUCCUUCUUAAGCUUUCCAGAGCCAGGAGGAAGUGGGCCUUGAAACACAAUGCUCAUUGAAAUUGGCUUUCAUCUGGGGGCUUUCGCAGCGUAAGCGCCGCAUGGUGAUGUGCUUUCCAUCUGCGGCCGAGGCCUCCUGAUGCAUUUCCUCUGUUUGUUCCAGAGGGAUGGAUGGCAGCACCUUGAAGCAGACACACAUUGUACUAACUGGUGGGCAUUAUUCUGGACGUCGGAAAUCUGUAGUCCUGAGCAACAGCAGUAUCCUCAGGAGCCUCUGAUGGAAGUGGAUGACAUUUGGAGAGUUUCUUUCAAUGAGAAAAGGCCACAUACGCUUAAGAUGCUAGAGUUUAAACUCUGGAGAUCUGUAUAGUAAGGAUUGUUACACACCAAUGCUUCACCAUAUUUGUUGGAGAUUGGGCUAAAGAAGAAAUAGAGUUGAAGACAUUGUCACUAAGAGAUUGUCACUUCAGCCAUGCACUGAGACACUGUGAAAGCAAGCCACAGAGCCCAACAGCGUCAUAUGGCUAUGAAUUGGACUUCUGCUUCAGGAUGUCUUUUUGCAGGAUUCUUGGUGGUCUGUAAAGUCUUGCAAUUAACCUGAAGAGAGGCUCUUCAGCAGAGAUGUAGGCCAAGGCUGGUUGCAAGUACAAGUAUCAUAUGAGACUGCCAUGUUGGCAAGGAGAGAAUUCAGUAUAGUAUUAUAUGGACAAAAUGUAGCCUUUUCUGAAGAGUAAAUGUUCUCAUCAAUCCCAUAGAAUAACUUACCUUUUUUGCUAUAAGGUACUGUGGAAAGAGAUAGACAUGUGGUUUACUUAUUUGGCAUCUCCAUAGCAGAAAUAUUUCAGGAAAGCUCAAAUGAGAUGAGAUUGGUAAGAAGAAUCUGGAAAUAACCAGUCUUUCACAAACUACUGAGCAUUAGGCCUGAUCCCAGCUCAUGGAUCACAAGUACUCUCGCUGGAUCCCCUGUGUGCCACCUUUAAAAGCACUCUAAAAAAAGACCCUUACUCCCAUCUGCCUCCAAUGAGUAAGUGCCAUCCAGUCUGAAAGAGAGAAGAAUGCUUUUUUUUCCCUCUUGAUUACUUCUCUGUCCAGACUAAGACAUCAUGAGGCUGAGCUGGGGCAGGGGACAUGGCAAACAAGGCAGGCAAAGCAGGCAUGCAAGAGGGCAGACUGCCUGCUGCAUGAUAAUAUUGAAGAACCACUGGAAUCAGAAGUUCGGGCAAAGGCAGACUGCAAGAGAAAUCACUUUGAAGAAUAUAACACGAAAAACUAUUGAAAAAGGGGGGAAAUUAAUUUUUUAUAAUGAUCUGUAUUUUUGUUGUUCUUGUUGUCCUUACUGAAACAGGUCAGGUGUGCUAAAUAAAAGGCAGCAGGAUAUGCAUUAGAGAGAUGAGAAAACUGACAAUUUAUUUCAACAUUAAUUUACUGUAGCAACUCAUCCCUAUGACCAAAGGAAAUCUUUGGUAAAAUUCUAGGAAAAAAUAUGGCCUGUGAGAACAUUGGUAAUAAUGCUGAGGAUUACAGUGGUGCCCAAAGACUUCAGUCAAGUUAGGCCUAUGCUGUGUUUAGUGCUGUACAAGUACAUAGUGCCUGUUCAAGGACGUAGGCUGUAGAGAAAUCUACCCUAGAGCACCUUCAAAGCUUCAGCAUAACAGUCAUCUUAAACAACCAACUGUUUGUUGAGCAACUAAAUAUGAUAGCCGCUACCAGGUAGACUUACGUAUGCUGUCACCUUUACUGUGACAUCUAUUCAACACAUUUUCCAUGUCUGACACUUAGGUACAUUGAAGAACAACAAUGACUCACACAGGGAGGUUCAAAAUGAACUGAUGGACCUGAAAACGGACAGUGAAUUUGCCUCUUAAUCUGUGUUGACUGAAGAGGGAUCCUGGCUGAGGCUGAAGCCAUUCACCUAACUUUAGUUAAUUAAAGCUAGGUGAAAUAAAUUCUAGCCCCAGUGUCUUUCACCUGAACAGCAAUCAAAUUGGAAAUGACAUUACAGUUGUGAUGAAUUGAAUAUAAUAGAAAACAAACCUUUAUCUUGCCAAACUUUUUAGAUUAAGACAUACCUUUGCAAGUUAUGUGCUGCUGAAAUGUACUGCUCCCACGCUAGAGAAAUCAAGGGAGAUAAUCAGAAAAAAGUGCGCAGUAAAGAGUAUGUUAGUAUGACUGUCUUUUCAAAGUAGUACAUAUCUUUAAGUACUAGUUAGAAAGCAGCUUGUCACUUCCAGAGAUAUCUAAUAUUUUUUUUGCUGUUUCUCAGAUUGUCUGUGUUGAAAGAAAGCUCUAUGUAUUACAAAGCUGAAGAACUCAGAGAUAUUUAAUUUAAUAAUACUUUGAUUCCUGACUCUAUACAGAGACUUUUCAUUACUUUCAAUGCAUCUCUGAAGAGACAUUUGC